Molecule: transfer RNA, 71 nt
Filed under: Eumegistus illustris (brilliant pomfret)
Lineage: Eukaryota; Metazoa; Chordata; Actinopteri; Scombriformes; Bramidae
Description: tRNA-Trp
Rfam family: tRNA
About the family: Transfer RNA (tRNA) molecules are approximately 80 nucleotides in length.
Source: RNAcentral
AGGAGCUUAGGAUAGUACAAGUCCAAAGGCCUUCAAAGCCCUAAGCGAGGGUGAAAAUCCCCCAGCCCCUG